GCCGCUCCGAGAAGUCAGCCGGCGUCACCCAGGAGCGCCCGUCCCGAUGGAUUCGUACGAACGGAACUCGAUGUCUCGCUGUGCAGGCUGGAAAGAAGCGAUAGAGGCCAAUUAAAAAAGAAAAAAAAAAAACACAACGCGAGUGUUGCAUUGAAGUUCCUCUGCAACAGUUCGUAUAUUUCUAUCCUCUCCCUUCCCCCAAAGUCCGAGAGCAGAGCAAAGUGAACGCUCACAACACCGAGGGACAGAGGCUGCUCCCGGCUCUGUCUCUUCAGGACGUGUCCUCUCUAUCCACCCUCCUCCUUCAACACUUUCCAGCACCGCUUUAUCCACUGACAGCUGUGUGUUUGGGGAUGAGGACUAUCUCUCACAUAGCACAAAGGGAUUACUGCAAUACAAGUCCCACCAUUGCAGAGAAUUCUUGUUGUUUUCCAAUCAGCUUUUAGUUAAUGUACUACACGCACCUGUUAUUUUUUCUUUUGCCCUUUUAAAACUGAUAUUUUAUAUAAAACUCCUGAACUCCAGAGGAACUGGCAGCACUUCACAAACCACAACCUGAGUCUUUCCAAGCGGUGAGAACUCCAAUCUCAAUCCAGAAGAACAGUCGAGCACAGGCCCAGCUCCAAGCACCUGCAUCUAUGGGCUUGACAGCUCCUGUCCUUCCCCAGAGAGACACAAAGAGCAUGCUGCGCUACAACAGAGGCCAGGAAAGAGCUAAAAGCUCUGCAUGAAAGAGGCCAGGAAAACCAAGGAGAGUAGAAAGAUACGGUUUUAUUAUCAUUUGAAAGAGUCCUAUUGUAAAGUGAGCGCGACUCAGCUUUCCUAGAAGGGCUGAACUGCAUUGGCUCUGACUGUGGAGCCUACAAAGUGAGAACGGAGCAAAUAUGAGAGCUGCCUGCCGAGCUACCAUCACAAAGAAGACUUAAGCAUAAUGGCAAAUAAGCUAUAAACAGCAGAAGAUUACAAGUCUGCCUAUCGGAAAGGGAGGACCUGGAAGAGCCUUUCUGUGGGAACACUGGAGACAAAACCAAACCAACCGGACCUUGCUAUGUGUUACAUGAUGUGAUGCACGAAACAGCAGAGGAAUGAAUCUGGUGACUCAGCCCUAUUUCAGUCACACAAUGGGAUUUUGGCCUCACUACUACAGAGAGGUAGAACAAGCUUCAUAAGAACCCUCGAUUGAAAUGUUCAGAAAAGAAAACAGAAGAUUCCUCAUUGCUUUCUCAAACAGAACUGGCAAGGAAAAAAGAAAAUAGUUUAGACCAAAACUAUUUUUUCCAUUAGCAUUUACUGCUGGUCCUGUCUCCAACAUAUCAGCCAGGCACGUCCCUGGUGGGACAGAGAGCCAAGCAGCAAUGGAUGAAGAGAAGUGAAGAUGAGUCCAGGAUGAACCAAUAAGAAGGAAACGGACGAUGACGUAGCAUGGAUGAGCUUUGAUGGAAGCAUCAGAAGCUGUCUAGGACUCAGAAAGGACCUUAAAAGAGCACAGAUGAAUCUCAGUGUAUUUUAGUCCUAUUGCUCUUGUGAAUGCCUCUUUCAGGUGUGCUGUGUUUCCAGCUUGACCCCUGACUGAAGCAUUUGCACACUCAGGAGAGCAUCUGUGCCUAUCAGAAGACUGAUUAGACUCUCUGAGAACAGUUUAUGGUUUUAUGUUUGCGGAGUCACCGAGCCCAGGGUCCAGAAGGGGAGGCCACAGUAGCACAGGCUGAAAGCAAGCGAAGAGUGAGAGAAGGGAGCGCUGCUCCUCUUUCUGUUCCUGCAUGAUUCAAGGCUGAAUUACCCUUUCCCAGACAGCUGCAGCCCUUGAGCUAGAGCACAGUUGAUGCUGCAGCUGCAAGGCAAGAAGCCCAGAGCCUGGUAGAGCAGCAGUGCAGAUGCUGUGCACCACGCUCCCUUCCUACAGAGCCC
Molecule: long non-coding RNA, 1908 nt
Organism: Gallus gallus (chicken)
Lineage: Eukaryota; Metazoa; Chordata; Aves; Galliformes; Phasianidae
Source: Ensembl